Molecule: long non-coding RNA, 1433 nt
Organism: Populus euphratica (Euphrates poplar)
Lineage: Eukaryota; Viridiplantae; Streptophyta; Magnoliopsida; Malpighiales; Salicaceae
Exons: 3
Source: RefSeq, a predicted model, not a curated record
AUGAAAAAUGUCAAAAACCGCAAUAUCUGCCCUCUUCAUUUGGUAAGACUGUAUUUUUUCCAUUUUCUUUGUUCUCUAUUUGUGUUCAUUUCCUAUUAUCUAGUAGAAAAGAAAUCUGAAAAAAGAAUCUUUUUUCAUUAUUUUUUUGUAGCAUCAAUGUCGUACCUUGGGAUGCAAUGCUAUGUCUUGGGUUCCUAUUUGCUGCAACGGACGACUUCAACUAGCUACUAUAGUCUCUCGAAGACAAAUUAUAAUGCCCUAUGUUUAAAUUACUAUAUCUAUAUGUAGGGUCUAUAGCAAGGAAAAUAAAUUUAUGCUUAAUAAAUGGUUUCGUUUGUGUAGUGUGCCUGCCGGUUGCAAAUGAAUUGGGGAGAUGAGAUACAGAGGCUGAGAAUCUCUCUAUUAAAGUUAGCAGCUUGACUGAUUGAGUUUCAGCUGGAGUUCUCUUUUGCAUUCUGUGUUUAGCAUUUGGCAACAAAAUUGCUUUCUUGUCUGGUGGUGAUGAGGAGGUGCCAGGCUUCUACCAGCUUUCUCAGUUUUACUCAACAGUGUUCAGUCCACACUUAUCAGGGAUGUUUUUCACUUGAAAAUACUCAUGCCCUAAAGGGUAUUAACUUGGGAAUUAAACUCACUUGCUUGCAUAAUUAAGAGAGUUUCUUGCAUUUCAUGGGCAUUUUUUUUUCCUAACAAUUGCGUAUUCCAUUACUGCGCAGGGCGCUGGUAUUCAAUGUGAGGCUGCAAGUGAAGGUGAGAGCUAGGGCAUUUGGAUUGGAAUGAUUCUGGGAGUUGUACUGCAAUUGCUUGCACUUUGCUGCAUGACCAUGAGAACUGAUUGGGAUGGCCAGGUAAAGAAGUCAUUGGCGCGUCUAAAUCGGUUCCUGAGACCAUCGGAAGAAAGCAGUGGAGGUUCUAGCAUUUCCCAUCUUUAAUCUCUUGGUUCCAUGCAACGACCAUCCAUUAUGGUGAUGGGAUGCCUGCUUUAAUUGUUGAUUUUGGAAGAGCUGAGCAUAGCCACACUUCCUUGACCUCGAUCAUCCAUAACGCAAUCAAGUUUAGAAAAUUAAUCGCAAUUCUCUUCAUUGUUUCUUAGCCAUGGCUACCCUUCAAGCUUGUUUUGAGACCCAGCAUCUUAUUGUAUUCAAGGCAUAAGAACACUAAUUGAGAGCAACACAGAGCACUCGCAAUCAUUUAAUAUAUGAUCGGUUUUCAUCUCCUGAAGAUCACGUUUUAGCUUUCAAGCGACAAAAUCCGUUUUCCAUGACAAUGCUCUACAAUGAAAUCUGUGUUCUCUUUAUCCCAGUCAUAUAUUAACAUAACAUAAUAGCAUCGAACCCGCCAUAAUGGCCACUCAUGCCCUCUGUGCUUUGAAAGGAAUGGCGUAAUCCAAUUCAAAGGUGUACCAUUAAGAAGGGAAAGUGUUGUUAAUGGAAAUU